Oncorhynchus mykiss (rainbow trout) is the source of this 1758-nucleotide long non-coding RNA. The record is from Ensembl. Lineage: Eukaryota; Metazoa; Chordata; Actinopteri; Salmoniformes; Salmonidae.
ACACUUUACCCCUACCUAUAUGUAAAUAUCUACCUCAAUUACAUUGACUCUGUACUGGUACUCUGUGUAUAUAGUCAUGUUAUAAUUGACUCAGUACUGGUACUCUGUGUAUACAGCCAUGUUAUCAUUGACUCAGUACUGGUACUCUGUGUAUAUAGUCAUGUUAUAAUUGACUCAGUACUGGUACCCCGUGUAUAUAGCCAUGUUAUCAUUGACUCAGUACUGGUACUCUGUGUAUACAGCCAUGUUAUCAUUGACUCAGUACUGGUACUCUGUGUAUAUAGUCAUGUUAUAAUUGACUCAGUACUGGUACCCCGUGUAUAUAGCCAUGUUAUCAUUGACUCAGUACUGGUACUCUGUGUAUAUAGUCAUGUUAUCAUUGACUCAGUACUGGUACGCCGUGUAUAUAGCCAUGUUAUCAUUAACUCAGUACUGGUACUCUGUGUAUAUAGUCAUGUUAUCAUUGACUCAGUACUGGUACUCUGUGUAUAUAGUCAUGUUAUCAUUGACUCAGUACUGGUACUCUGUGUAUAUAGUCAUGUUAUAAUUGACUCAGUACUGGUACCCCGUGUAUAUAGCCAUGUUAUCAUUGACUCAAUACUGGUACCCCGUGUAUAUAGCCAUGUUAUCAUUGACUCAGUACUGGUACUCUGUGUAUAUAGUCAUGUUAUCAUUGACUCAGUACUGGUACCCCGUGUAUAUAGUCAUGUUAUCAUUGACUCAGUACUGGUACUCUGUGUAUAUAGUCAUGUUAUCAUUGACUCAGUACUGGUACUCUGUGUAUAUAGUCAUGUUAUCAUUGACUCAGUACUGGUACUCUGUGUAUAUAGCCAUGUUAUCAUUGACUCAGUACUGGUACUCUGUGUAUAUAGUCAUGUUAUCAUUGACUCAGUACUGGUACCCCAUGUAUAUAGUCAUGUUAUCAUUGACUCAGUACUGGUACCCCGUGUAUAUAGGCAUGUUAUCAUUGACUCAGUACUGGUACUCUGUGUAUAUAGUCAUGUUAUCAUUGACUCAGUACUGGUACCCCGUGUAUAUAGCCAUGUUAUCAUUGACUCAGUACUGGUACCCCGUGUAUAUAGCCAUGUUAUCAUUGACUCAGUACUGGUACCCCGUGUAUAUAGCCAUGUUAUCAUUGACUCAGUACUGGUACCCCGUGUAUAUAGCCAUGUUAUCAUUGACUCAGUACUGGUACUCUGUGUAUAUAGUCAUGUUAUCAUUGACUCAGUAUUGGUACUCUGUGUAUAUAGUCAUGUUAUAAUUGACUCAGUACUGGUACCCCGUGUAUAUAGCCAUGUUAUCAUUAACUCAGUACUGGUACUCUGUGUAUAUAGCCAUGUUAUCAUUGACUCAGUACUGGUACCCUGUGUAUAUAGUCAUGUUAUCAUUGACUCAGUACUGGUACCCUGUGUAUAUAGUCAUGUUAUCAUUGACUCAGUACUGGUACCCUGUGUAUAUAGCCAUGUUAUCAUUGACUCAGUACUGGUACUCUGUGUAUAUAGCCAUGUUAUCAUUGACUCAGUACUGGUACUCUGUGUAUACAGCCAUGUUAUCAUUGACUCAGUACUGGUACUCUGUGUAUAUAACCAUGUUGUAAUUGACUCAGUACUGGUACUCUGUGUAUAUAGCCAUGUUAUCAUUGACUCAGUACUGGUACUCUGUGUAUAUAGCCAUGUUAUCAUUGACUCAGUACUGGUACUCUGUGUAUACAGCCAUGUUAUCAUUGACUCAGUACUGGUACUCUGUGUAUACAGCUAA